UCUUCACAGGUUGAAUUGAAUCAUGGAUAAGAGCAUGUUAGCUAGUUUGGAAUCACUUCCAGAAGCUGAUCAGCAAAGAAUGACGUCCAUGUUGGAACAAGUUCAAAUCUGUGACAGGUACCUC
Arachis ipaensis is the source of this 124-nucleotide non-coding RNA. The record is from RefSeq and is a predicted model, not a curated record. NCBI's taxonomy places the organism in Eukaryota, Viridiplantae, Streptophyta, Magnoliopsida, Fabales, Fabaceae.